CUGGCGGCGUGCCUAAUACAUGCAAGUCGAACGGUCUUUCUAUGGAAGCUUGCUUCCACUGAGAAGAUAGUGGCGAACGGGUGAGUAACACGUGGGUAACCUGCCCAUAAGAGGGGGAUAACAUCCGGAAACGGGUGCUAAUACCGCAUAGUUUUCUUGAUCGCAUGAUUGAGAAAGGAAAGACGGCCUUUGUGCUGUCGCUUAUGGAUGGACCCGCGGCGUAUUAGUUAGUUGGUGAGGUAACGGCUCACCAAGACGAUGAUACGUAGCCGACCUGAGAGGGUGAUCGGCCACAUUGGGACUGAGACACGGCCCAAACUCCUACGGGAGGCAGCAGUAGGGAAUCUUCCGCAAUGGACGAAAGUCUGACGGAGCAACGCCGCGUGAGUGAAGAAGGUUUUUUCGGAUCGUAAAACUCUGUUGUCAGAGAAGAACAAGUUGGAGAGUAACUGCUCCAGCCUUGACGGUAUCUGACCAGAAAGCCACGGCUAACUACGUGCCAGCCGCAGC
This 510-nucleotide ribosomal RNA is filed under the name uncultured bacterium. RNAcentral's name for it is "bacterial SSU rRNA". It matches the Rfam family "Bacterial small subunit ribosomal RNA", at positions 36 to 518 of the family's 1533-position model. The record is from RNAcentral.